AUGUCCCUUAUCUCGUUGCUUAUUGUUAUACUGAUGAUUUGGCCCUUAUCUCGUUGCUUAAUCUGUAUUGAGUUGUUUGUCCCUUGUUAUUCUUUACUUCAAAAUGCAUGUACAAGAGUAACAACUGUAGCAAAUUCGUGGACAGCAACUGCGUUUUGGCCAAUUGAAAUCCUUGGAUUUCUAAGACGUGAGACGCUGCACUUAGGCCUAUCUUAUUCCAUCACACUAUUUCCGUUAUUCUGGCUGACGAUUGAUGCUGUAAACUGCUUGCUAAGAAACUCUGGUGCUAUCUUGCCGUUUGCUCCUUCCGGGUAG
RNAcentral lists this ribosomal RNA (315 nucleotides) under Triticum aestivum (bread wheat). RNAcentral describes it as "partial small subunit ribosomal RNA". The record is from RNAcentral. Lineage: Eukaryota; Viridiplantae; Streptophyta; Magnoliopsida; Poales; Poaceae.